GCUGAUUGGCUGAUGUGUUGUGCGUGUGUUUGCACCUGCUGGUGCAACAAUCACAGCUGCUGUGCACCAACGUCUGCGAGCGUCCGCGUUAAGUCCGGAGGGGCAGCCAGUGACCGAGCCCCUCGAAGAACCUCCGUACGUUCAUGACGUAGAAGUUGACGUUCUGAGUGAAGUCGGUGCAAAUGUUCGAGUACGUGUCCACCAGGGUGCAAUAGAGAGCGGUCCCACCUACACUGAUCACCACGGUAACCAGACACAGCAGCAGGAGGAUCAGGCAGGAGUCUCCACCCACCUCAUCUGAGAAAUUCCUUUGAGGGUUCUCUGCUCUGGCGUUUUUCGCCGUCUCUUAUGGCGUCUCCUGGCGGCGGCAUCGAAGCAGGUGACCAUCAUGACGUUGGCCUUGCAGCGAUCGACUCUGUUCUCCAGGCAAGCCGUCACCACCUCCAGGGCAUCCAGGUGCUCCAGGGAGUCCACCUCGAACGUCUGCCACAGGUCAACUGAAAGAGGACAGUGUGGCUCCAGCAUGAGGCGGUCUUUGACUUGUUCCAGCUCUCUCCUCAGGUUGUUGUAUUUGGCUCCGACCUCUAACAUCCUCUGCUGACGGUGCUCCAAAAACUUCAGCUUGGCACUGAAGCAUGCUGGGCCCUGUAAACACAUACGUACACACAUUUCAUGUCUUUUCCUUUUGUUCACACAGCGCAAAAUAGUUAAGGAACCCAAAAAAAUAAACUGGGUACUUGGAUACUGGACACUUUGUCAUGUAUCCAUAAACUCAAGCCAGCAAGAUUUGACAUUUGUUCCAUCUACAAACCCCUCAGCUCUAAUCUACAGACAUUACCCAGACUGACCAAUGCAAACAAGUAUAGUCUGAACUUUUCUCUGAAGAGCAAGACAGGAUUUUUGAAAUGAAUUAUUUUAAAAUAUUUAAAUAGUUUGGAAAAUAUUACUCAGACUAAUCUAUUCCCACCUCAAGAACAGUUUGUAGAAUGAAUUAUUAGCAGUUCCUGUUUUGAUUACUCCACUGGAAGAAUCACUAUCUCUGGAUCACUUUGAUAGUGAAGAUGUAAAAAUGUCAUGAUUCUUUGGAUGGUUCUGAAGUUGAUACUCUGAGGGUUUGUCUUGUUCUAUAAUUUCUGACCAUAUUUAUGAAAUAACGUAUGUCCUUGGAAAAUGUAGAGAAACUGAAUCUUAAAAAUAUGUGGAUCAUGGCUUUGUGUUCAGAUUUGACUUUAGACUCUGAGAAAAGGGGAAAAAAUUAGGCAAACCAAAUCAGCAAACUAUAAUAUCCAAUUUCCCAGCGUUUUUAGAUCACUGACUCACACCGGCUCACCUCCUUUACCCUCAACUCCUUUCCCUUCCGGCCUCACAGUUUGAAAACCUCUGUUCCACACCAACACACACCAACACAAAUGCA
This is a long non-coding RNA of Paralichthys olivaceus (Japanese flounder), 1414 nucleotides long. RefSeq lists it as uncharacterized. NCBI's taxonomy places the organism in Eukaryota, Metazoa, Chordata, Actinopteri, Pleuronectiformes, Paralichthyidae. The record is from RefSeq and is a predicted model, not a curated record.